RNAcentral lists this ribosomal RNA (484 nucleotides) under uncultured bacterium. RNAcentral describes it as "partial 16S ribosomal RNA". It matches the Rfam family "Bacterial small subunit ribosomal RNA", at positions 30 to 507 of the family's 1533-position model. The record is from RNAcentral.
AUUGAACGCUGGCGGCAGGCCUAACACAUGCAAGUCGAGCGGAUGAAGGGAGCUUGCUCCUGGAUUCAGCGGCGGACGGGUGAGUAAUGCCUAGGAAUCUGCCUGGUAGUGGGGGAUAACGUCCGGAAACGGGCGCUAAUACCGCAUACGUCCUGCGGGAGAAAGUGGGGGAUCUUCGGACCUCACGCUCUCAGAUGAGCCUAGGUCGGAUUAGCUAGUUGGUGGGGUAAAGGCCUACUAAGGCGACGAUCCGUAACUGGUCUGAGAGGAUGAUCAGUCACACGGGAACUGGGACACGGUCCAGACUCCUAAGGGAGGCAGCAGUGGGGAAUAUUGGACAAUGGGCGAAAGCCUGAUCCAGACAUGCCGCGUGUGUGAAGAAGGUCUUCGGAUUGUAAAGCACGUUAAGUUGGGAGGAAGGGCAGUAAGUUAAUACCUUGCUGUUUUGACGUUACCAACAGAAUAAGCACCGGCUAACUUCGUG